This 445-nucleotide ribosomal RNA is filed under the name uncultured bacterium. RNAcentral describes it as "partial 16S ribosomal RNA". It matches the Rfam family "Bacterial small subunit ribosomal RNA", at positions 354 to 796 of the family's 1533-position model. The record is from RNAcentral.
GUGAGGAAUAUUGGACAAUGGGCGCAAGCCUGAUCCAGCCAUGCCGCGUGCAGGAAGACGCAUCUAUGGUGUGUAAACUGCUUUUGUACGGGAAGAAACACUCCCUCGUGAGGGAGCUUGACGGUACCGUAAGAAUAAGGAUCGGCUAACUCCGUGCCAGCAGCCGCGGUAAUACGGAGGAUCCAAGCGUUAUCCGGAAUCAUUGGGUUUAAAGGGUCCGUAGGCGGUUUAAUAAGUCAGUGGUGAAAGCCCAUCGCUCAACGAUGGAACGGCCAUUGAUACUGUUAGACUUGAAUUACAAGGAAGUAACUAGAAUAUGUAGUGUAGCGGUGAAAUGCUUAGAUAUUACAUGGAAUACCAAUUGCGAAGGCAGGUUACUACUUGUGGAUUGACGCUGAUGGACGAAAGCGUGGGUAUCAAACAGGAUUAGAAACCCCUGUAGUCC